GCGGCCUAUCAGCUUGUUGGUGGGGUGAUGGCCUACCAAGGCGACGACGGGUAGCCGGCCUGAGAGGGCGACCGGCCACACUGGGACUGAGACACGGCCCAGACUCCUACGGGAGGCAGCAGUGGGGAAUAUUGCACAAUGGGCGGAAGCCUGAUGCAGCGACGCCGCGUGAGGGAUGACGGCCUUCGGGUUGUAAACCUCUUUCAGCAGGGACGAAGCGUGAGUGACGGUACCUGCAGAAGAAGCGCCGGCCAACUACGUGCCAGCAGCCGCGGUAAGACGUAGGGCGCGAGCGUUGUCCGGAUUUAUUGGGCGUAAAGAGCUCGUAGGCGGCUUGUCGCGUCGUUCGUGAAAUCCCGGGGCUCAACUCCGGGCUUGCGGUCGAUACGGGCAGGCUUGAGUUCGGUAGGGGAGACUGGAAUUCCUGGUGUAGCGGUGAAAUGCGCAGAUAUCAGGAGGAACACCGGUGGCGAAGGCGGGUCUCUGGGCCGAUACUGACGCUGAGGAGCGAAAGCGUGGGGAGCGAACAGGAUUAGAUACCCUGGUAGUCCACGCUGUAAACGUUGGGCGCUAGGUGUGGGGGGCCUCUCCGGUUCUCUGUGCCGCAGCUAACGCAUUAAGCGCCCCG
This 628-nucleotide ribosomal RNA is filed under the name uncultured bacterium. Its description in RNAcentral is "bacterial SSU rRNA". It matches the Rfam family "Bacterial small subunit ribosomal RNA", at positions 233 to 871 of the family's 1533-position model. The record is from RNAcentral.